Molecule: long non-coding RNA, 685 nt
Filed under: Homo sapiens (human)
Lineage: Eukaryota; Metazoa; Chordata; Mammalia; Primates; Hominidae
Description: VIPR1 antisense RNA 1
Source: RNAcentral
AAGGACUGUGCUCCCAAUCCGCUUACGCUCAAGGAAGAACUGCCUGGAAGCCCUCCCUGGUACCAUACCCCAGCCGAUGAGUAUGUACCCCCAGAAGUACUUCCGCUCAGAGAAGAAGGAGACGGCAAGCAGGGUGUACAGGAAGGCCCAGAACCAGCCUGCUGUCAGGAUCAGAACAAAAGAGGAGGACUGCAUAUGUAUGGACCCACUCCAGAUGGCACGGGGACGGGGGGAGUAGGAAAAGUGGCAUGAGACCAGGCCCACAGAGUAUGGCUGUGCAAGUUGUUCACUCUACAAGGGCACCUGGCCGGGGUCUUACCUUGAAUGGAGGAGAAGAGCUUGAAGAUGAGGGGACAGGCCAAGACAACUACCUGGCCCCGAGGGGUGGCUGGCCAGCAGAUGAGGAAAUGGAGGCACAGACUGAUUAGAAAACCAGCUCAAGGUCAUGUUGCUGCUGGGCCUCCUCCAGGCACUGCUUGUGCUGCACCUCGAUCAUCUGCACAUAGUCACACUCCUCCUGCAGCCUGGCCGCCUGGCCGCCCUGAGAACAAAGACAGGGAGGGCCCAUCAGCCUCGUCCAUAGACUCAGGAGCACCAGGCCCAGUCUCUGGACUGCACCUGCCCUCUCCCUGGAAGAGAUCCAAGUUCCAGAUGGAACCCCAAUACCAACCCAAGACUGAAACCU